CGGCGUGUCGUCGGUCCCGGCGCGCGAGUGACUCACGACUUCACCCGGGCGCCGCGGGGGAAACAGGAAACUCCUCGCCAACAGCUGGGCAGGACCUCUCGCCGCCCCGGAGCCUUCUCCCUGGGCUCGGCUCCCAGCCCUCGCCCUCCCUCGCAGCUGCCAAUCACGUCCCCGGGACCGGCCCCCCUCCGAGGACGGCGCUGGCAAACUUUCAGCGGCCCCUCGCCGCCCUCGCGAGUUCCUGACUAUUUCCUGAGCGGAGGACGAAGCGCACGCGUUUGAGAAAGUCACCGAACCCCUGAACGUAGAAAGUGCCCGCGCUUCCCCCCGCACCCAAAGCAGCACCCUCCCUCCCCCCCUCCCUCCCGCGUAUUCUUAGCGCCUCAGAGCAGUGUUGGCAAACGCCAAGUGGCGAGCCAGGCGUGGAGAUGCUAAAACCUGAGUUGUGGGCGCGUUUUUUUCAAAUAAAACGGUAUUAAUAGAAACUGCAGUUGGGCCACAUGUUUACAGAAAGCACAAAUAGUUGCUUUUGGAAAAAACCAUAAGAACACACAGAGAAAAAGCUGCGUGAAGUCACAAGAAGAAGGCAGCCGUCUGCAAGACAAGUAGAGAGGCCUCAGGAGAAACCAGACCUGCUGACACCUUGACCUUGGACGUGCAGCCUCUGAAACGCAGGCAGGGCACACUUGUGUGUGAGAGCAACUGAGGUCAGCAGAGCUGGAGGAACACCAAGUCCCCGAGUGUGAAGAGUGUGAGGGCGUCCCGCUGAACUUCAGGACAUGGUGACGUUUUCUGGAGGCGUCUCAUGCUGCUGCUCCGAAGAGCUUUCUCGUACAAGCAGAUGAUGAAAACAAAGGCUUGUGGUCCAGGAGUUCGUUUUCGAAAGUGGUUCUUUCUUAACAUGAGUCCGAAGGGAGCCAAGGAUUUUUCGUCGACAGAGGAUUAAGUGGCGAGGAGCAGAGAGAGGCCUCUGAUCAACAACCGGUGCGGAGUGGAGCCCCAGGUCCCGAGUCCUGGACCCCACAGGAAUUGAUCCUGCCAGCAUCCCCUCGGAUGAGCUGGGAGGCGGAUCCAUCCACAGUGCAACCACGACCGGCAGCCCCAACGGACACCUGGAGCCCGUGAGAGGAGCCCGCUGAGCCACACCUGGAUUCCCCACCUACAGAAGCUUGAGAUGGUGAAUGUGGCUGGUUCAAGCCACUGAGGUUUGGGGAAUGUGAUGUACAGCAGUUGAGAACUAAUACAGAGGUCAUUGCUAUGGUCUAAGUAAAACCUGGUCACGGCUUGAACCAAGGGGCAGCAGCAGAGGUGACGGGAGGUGGUCAGCUAUGGCUUUGAAAACAGAGUCAGGAAGAUAUGAGAAAAAGGCCCAAGGGGCACGUACAUGGAGCUUAAGUGGCACCAGGGACAGCUGGCCACUGGGUGUACCAUCCCUGUGGCCUCUGAAGGAGCGGGCUUGGGCCAGGCGGCAGCUGGCUUCGCUCUAAGGGAAGGAUGCUGACCCCCUCUUGCUCCCCCUUUUACGGGGCAAGAGUGAGAGCAGUCUUAGGAUAAACAGAUCUCCCAGGCACCCAGCGGUCUGAGGUCUCGGACAGAGAUGUUUACAGAAACUCGCGAGGAAGGACAACGUUACGGAAAGCUUUGUUCUGCUGCGAUCCCUCUUACUCUAAAGGAAGCAGCUCAAGAGAAGUUAUUUUUAAGACGGAAGCAAGAACCAUAGAUUUUUAUGCUGAUGGGAACAGUGCGGUUGAGGGGGAAAGUCCGAUGAGAAAAGGGAGAGUUGCUGGAAUGCAGCCUGUGUCUAAAGACUCGGGUGGGUCCUGGUGCACGAGUUUGGUGUCAUGUUCCCUCAUUCUCUGCAUGUUUUCCCGGCAAAGCAGGAGCAAGAAAGCCAAACUUUGUGUUUCCCUUAGACUGUGGCGCCCAGGAGAGGACUCCCCUUGUCCAAAAGAGUCACUUUGUAGACAGCCCAACCUCCAGCCAGUGGUCGACAGGUCAGAAAUGUGGACGCAGCAUUGCCAGAUCUCCUAAUUUUCAAAAGAAGCCUGUAACCCUGAUUACUUUGUGUGAGAGCUCCUGAUUUUUCAGUGCCCUCAACGAAUUCAGAAUUAAAUUUUAAAAAAGCAAUCCGCAGGCCAAAGCACACCAGCAGAUUGAAUGGGAGCGUGGUCUUUGCCCUGGGUCAUCACUGUUUUAGUUAACCUCUAAUUCUCCACACAGUGGCUGGAGUGAGUUUUUAAAACACAGAUCUGAUUGUUAUAAGGACCCUGUGACAAAGCCUUGAGUGGCUUUCUCUGGCACAGUGGGUGGAGCUUCGACUCUGUGAAAGAGCAUCUCCACCAUCAUGCCUGAGUGAGCGUUCCCACCUGUCCCCCGGGCCCCGCUCCUCAGAGACUGGACACUGCGGCCCAUGGGACCCCUCCCUGUCCUCGAGAGUGCCAGCUUCCAGGCGUGGCAACUGCUUCUCUCCCUCUUCCACUGACUUCAGUUUCUACUAACUCUUCAGUUCUUUUCUUUAUUUCCUUGUUCCCCUAGGCUGCCUGUCCCAGCCCCCUCCCACUAGAUUGAAGACCAGAUCUUUGCUAGGAACCCUCUUAAGCUCUCAUCACUGCUCACAUGGCCUCUAACAGCCCGGGGUACCCUCUGCUACAUCUGCCUUGUUUCUAAAUCCCCUGGACUCCGCAAUGUCUGGGGCCAAGAGCCGUCUCCAUUUGUCCGCUGAGUCAGCCAAGGGACUUCUCCGUGACAGGCCUCGAGUGCAUCCCUGGUAACAGUUGGUGUUGUCCAGGGCUGGACACCAGCUGUCUCUCUUGAGCCCUUUACAGCUCUUCUCCCAAUUGCAGGGUGUUGGGAUGUUGCCUGGCCCCUCACAUUCAACAUGCACCCCGCCCCAUCUCGUUCCCCUUCUCCACCGAUGCCACCAGAUCCCGCUCAGCCACAUGGACCCAGAGACUGAGGGCCCUCUCAUCUCUCACAGCAGGCAUCAGAUGCUCUUGAGUGUUUUCAUGACCGUCUCUCAAGUUAAGUUGUUGUUGUCCUUCCCGUUAUGACCAUCUCCAAUAAAAGCCUCCUUAAGCCUCCCCUGUACUGUUUAUCUCCACUCAGAUACAUCUCCCCGGAGCUACCGUUCUCUCAUCUCUGCCUUCUGAUCUACUCCCAACCCUGCUGGCAAACCCAGCGCGUUCUCCUCUGUUUCAGAUGCUUCACUGACUCCGCCUGGACGUUAGGUCUGGUUCAAAUCCCGUCAGAACCUCCUGCCCUUCAGUUUCCACCCAUUCAUCAUCCAGCCGAGCUUACAGUUCUUCUAACUUCCCACCACCCUGCCCCAUCUUACACAUUACGCUCUAAAACUCAAGCCUCUUAGGGUAUCCUGAACACCCCUUGUGUACCAUGUUCUAAAUGCAUUCACGUCUGCGGUUGCUUCUCCCCAAAUGCUGUUGCAUAUCUCUGGAGGAGCCACUAUUUAUCUUCCAAAUUCAGCUCAAAUACCCGCCAAGAAGAGGCAGGAAUCACUUCUUCCGUAUUUCCCUGUAAGAGCUACUCACUUCCUCUGAGCCCCAUUUGAUGAUUGUUUGUAUUUCUGUUUCUUGUACACCUGUUUCUUCCCCUGGACUCUGAGGUCAUUGAGAACAGGGACAAGACUCCCCUGAUCUCUGCUGUCCCACGGGUGGACACAGCACCUGACGCCCACAGUCGUUGGUGGACAUUGUUUGAAUGAAUGAGUUGCAUCCAUUCUUUGUUGCAUGCAGCUUGAACGCACCAUUGAUUCCAAGCACACGGCAUACCUGCUUUUAUAUUUAAAGCAGGUACUAAACCAUUUAGUGUUUAAUUUACGAGGAAAUGAUUAAACAGAAAGGACCUACUGCCUUGAUCUUGAAGGCAGCAAGCUCAUGUCUACUGCAGGGUCGCCAGGAAUGUCUGAGUAAAAUUAGAGGUCACUUCUUCCCUCCUAAAAUGUUUUGCCUUCUAACCUUCUCCCUUAUUCACUCUGUUCUCUAACAGACUCAUAGAAACUUUGAUCAGCUCUAAUCUUUAAAGUAAAAUCGAGACUCUGUGUUUGAACUCUUGGUCUAAAAGGAAUGACUACUGAUGAGAACAGGAGGAUAGAACAUUUGAAAUUGAGUCUGUUUCACAAAACGUCUAACAUAGGUUCCGUGUGACCAGGGAUGACUUAACUUCACACUUCCUUUUAGAGAAGAGGAAGCAAAGCCCUCAGACCCGGCCCGAGGCUCCGGGGCUGACCAGUUCCAGAGCAGUCUUCCGUCCUGCCACUCACAAAUUCCCAUAAGAUGUGAGCUAGGGAAGUGCAAACCGUUAACCCAACCACAUUUCCGGAGGGAACCCUUGGCACUGGAAUACUGUACAGGACUUCGAAGAAUACAUCUCCAGUGGUGCAGUUUUGCACACAACGUGUGGGAAACUUACAUGAUGGUUAAUUACAGGCACGCCGUGAAUCCGGAAGACCCUAGGGUGAGUCGAGGCCAACAAAGCCAGGCUGACUUUUCAUCCUUCUUUCUGUUUGGAACCUCAGAGGGUCUAGAAGAGUGAGCACCCAGAACCAGUUCUUGUUUUCACAUGGGGGGUCACAUGGUGGUGCAUUGUGGGAAAUUCCCGUUGUCACAGGGAGGGUGUGGGAGGCGCCCUUCCUCCUUUCAGAUGAACCACACGUACCGUGGGUGUCCUUCGAUGGUCUUGCACCGCUGCUGCCUGAAGUGCUGUAAAUGGGGGUGAAAAGGGCCGACAAGAACUUGGAGUUGUGGCUUAUCAUCAGAAUUGGCCUUGCUAACCGCAGAGAACCGAAAACCGCGCAUUUUGCCGAUCUCAGUCCCUAUCUGGGAUCUGCACCCCCGGCCUCAUAAUCAGAAGUAACAGCAUUAAUAAUCUUCUGACAAACACCUUCCCAAAGCUCUUUUUACUUCCCUGCAGUUUCCUUUUUAAUUUCCAUAGCUACUUUCCCCGUGUUUUCCCUCUGGAGUUUGAGUUUGGAAACGAAAAUGAUAAACGUCGAAUACUAAUUGGAUGUGCGGCACUGGGAAACAUGCAUGCUUUCAUUUCUUCAGUAAAGAAGCUACAGUAAAACCCUCACUGCCAUCUAUGGAUAUGGGGACCGAGGCAAAGAGAGUUUGUCUCAUUUGCCAGAGGUCACGACAACUAGUAACUGUAUUCCAGUGGGCCACACGGCCCUAUCUUCAAGAAGCAUUUUUUUCCAGUUGGGAGCUAGAGGUGUGUAGCAGGUCCGAGUAGGGUCGUCCCGGGACAGACCCCUCCCCAUCUCCCCUGCUGCAGCUGCUCCGGAAGGACCCAGGUCAUAGCAUCUCAUGCAGAUGUCCUGAGUUUUUCAGAGGCUAAAAAGCAACACCGAAGAAUGGAAAAUCAGAAAAAUGUCAGGCGAUUGUCACUGACAACGGAACAAACGCGCCGGCUCCGGGUGAUUCAGGCAUCGCGGGCGUUCGGUUUUCUCGCUCGCAGCUGUGCUGUUGGGGGAAGGAGCGCAGCAGGUUUGCCGGCCUGGCAAAGCAGACAGGCAGCAGCCGGGUUCCCUCGUUUCUCUUUAAGCCCCGGAAGAGCUCCACGACGUACCAGAUAGAGAUGCUGAAACUUCUUGUCUGCACUUUGACAAACUGUUCAAACAACACGGAGUAGCAACUGUUGCACGUUUAAAACAAGACUGCUUGAGAUCAAGAAAGCCUUACUAGGGAACCUUGCAAAUAAGAAAAACGCAUGAACCACAGGUGACUGCUUGGAGAGAGUGCAGUUUGUUUCUUGGUCUCUACUAAAGAAUAAAACCAACUCCUGUUUCUUGGGAGUGAAAGCAUUUCUUCCGUGUAUCAUGGAAGAAUAAAGAAUAGCCAUCCCACGCUUCUGGUCCAGGAAGGGGCGCCUUCCUGGAGCACGCGUCUGUCAGCCCCGAGCAACGUGGGGGGCUCGGUGCCGUCACCUUGUGAAAUCACGGCGGCUUCCAGCCAGGCUCCGUUCCCCGACCUCACAGAGCCUUCCCUGAUGCUCGCGUAGAUAUCCACCUGUCCAGCUGGUUAUUCUGCAGGGGAAUAAACUUGUUUCUGACUGAGUGUCAGAGUCCGUUCACUAUUUUAGCUCAUUAAGAAGGGACACUGAGCAGUAUAUACUGGGCAGUAUAUAUGUGUGGGUGGGGAGGGCUUUGUGCGAACUCUCUGUAUUUUCUGUUCAUUUGAUUCUGUUGUGAACCUGAAACUGCUCUAAAAGAAUAAAGUCUGUUAAAAAAAAAAAAAAGAAGAAGGGACACUGAGGUUUGGGUCACUGGACCUGACUGCUGCCUGUACUUGGCUCAGUGACAUGUCUGCAGUCAGAUGGGGGCUGGCUGGCCUGGGACUCUCUCCCCCACAGGAUGGAGAUUUACUAGGUGUUGGCUGGUAUUAAGGUGGCCUGGGUCACCGGGCUGCAUGCCUCCCCUCUGCCAGGUGUCUAGUCCAGGUCUGCUGCCCUAGCAGAGCCAGAGGACCACGAGAUAAAGGGAAUAUAUUCAAGGUUUGUUGAAGCCUGGGCUUGGAAGUGGCACGUCAUUACUUAACACUAUAUUCCUUUCGCUGAAGCAAAUCACACGACCAAGCUCAAUAUCACUGGAGCAGGAAGUCCAUUCUACCUCCAAGAGGAACUGCAGAGUCCCGUGCCCAGGAUGGUGGAGAGCACAGACAGCUGGAGGUGGCAGCAGCUCUGACUGCUUGUCUGCCUGCUGCAGGGGGCGCCACAGUGCUCGGCGCGUGGUAAGCUUUCCGUGUGAGAUGAGUGAUGCUUUUCUUGUGGAGGGGGCUGGAGGGGGCUGGGGGAGGGAGAGUGGUCCAGUCCAGGGGUAGGAAGCUGACUGUGGAAUGAAGGUGCAGCUGAGGAACAGUGAUGGAGCUCUGAUCUUGUAGUGGGUGCGCUGAGCUCUGAGGAUCUUCUGGACGCCAGCUUCCCCUGUGUCUCGAACCGAUCCAGGUCCCCAGAUGGGAUAUUGGAUCAUUCUUUCCAAAUCCAGGGCACUGUUCAAAUAUUAAGAGAUUCUCUAAUUCUCUACACCUGAGCAGAGAAUGACUCUUGCCAUGUUCCCCAAGGAACCUUCUGUGUCACAAUGGCAAAGUGAUUCAUCCACCCAAGGUCACGGGUAAACUGACAUCUUCUGCACGUGAGCUGAGUUGGGUCCCGCUAAGGUCACCACGGCACCUGGUACUCUUCCUUCUCUGCACUUCUUGGGCUGUGUCAUCCCCAAAUAUUUAGUCAUCUGUUUCCUGGCACACUGCCAGAGGACUGAAACCCAUCUAUGCUGUAUAUAAAACCCUACUGCGUAGUGGGCCCUGAGUAAGUGUGCUUACUGAGUGAAAAAGUAGCGCAUAGAUCCCGGAAAUGGCCACUUUCUACCUUGUUGAAGCUCUUCAUUUACUCAGAUCUCCUUUUUCUUCAUCACAAAACAAUGAACCUGUGGUGCCCUCUCUCAAAGCCACACUUUAACUUUUUAAAAACAUUGUAAGUGAUGCUUGGCAAAUUCGUAAAUGUACAGCAGUAAUUUCAAAGGUUAUCAGUUUAUGGAAAAAUAAAAAAAUGUAUGGUAUUGCUUUGAUUUUGGGCAUUUCUACAGGGAAAGACCUUGCAUUCCAGUCUCUUUAGAAUCCUCACCUGAUCAUUUAGACCAUUCCCCCUCUUCCCAAGGCUGCCUUUUUGCCCAAUAUAGCAAAUCGUUUGAAGUUCUUUAAAUUCCAAUAUUUAAACUUAAGGUUUUAAAUAUUUAGGAUUUUCUAGUUUGUACUGCCAUGUUUACAAUAGACUUUGGAAACAGCAGGAAGCUUCCAUCUUCAGUACAAUCUCAUUGUGAUCUUUCAUGUAUUGUGUAGCAUGGAACAUUCCGGAAAAGAGAACUUGCGAAUUUGAAAUUUGCCUACUUCUUGAUCUAUAAGCGACUUUUUGUUGGUUGUACAUGACCAGAAGUCACUGACAGUGAUCUGUGUGUGGUCGGAAGUCCCGGAGUAGUUGGAGACAGUGAUCAUUCAUGGCGAAUAAAUCCAGCCAGACAUACUUCACAGUCAGCUGUUCCUCCGACAAGUUUGAGGAUGUGGCCUGUCUCAGAACAUUCCAGGUACAAUUAAGUCACCACCUCCCCUCCUUCUGAAGCCCAGGUGCAGCCCAGGGACACUCAGGGCUUACGUUCCAGAUGUUUUUCCACCUAAAUAACAAACAUGUUGCUGGAGAACAUCUUCUCCAAAAGCAGGAUCAUUCAGGAGGAGUUGCUGAGAUGAUUCUAUGGCAUUUGUUUAAAAUAGGAAGUCACAAUUUCUAUAAGGAGUGAGUUAAAAAAAAAAACUUGAGGCAGAGUAUUGGGUUGAAACUUAGAACCUGUACAGUUGUCAUGAGUUAGCAAUUUGAAAUCUGUAAAUGCCUUCUAGUGCUGUCAAGAUGUUUGGAAGGGAAGUCCAUGAUUUCUGCAUGGAUGUACUCUCAGAAAUGCCCUUCUAAUGUCAGGUCUCCUGACAAAUUCUAAUAGAAUUUAUCAGGUACUCCUUGGAUUCCUGUACCACUGAGAGUAAGAACAAACCCUACUGGAUGCAAAUGCUCUUCUUCUUAGCACCUUACAUGUGGGACCUCAUUUACUUCAAAAGCAAUCCUUUAAGGUAGAUACAGCUUUACCAUCAUCCUUAUUUUUCAGGUGAGGAAAUUGAGGCCCAGAGAAGGUAAGUGACUUGUCCAAAGUCACACAGCUAGUAAGUGAUAGAAUAGGACUAAACUCGAGGACACCUGCUCUUAAACACCAUGUCACCUGCUUCCCAUUCCUGUGUGCCUCUACCCAAGUGCUGACCAUGCUGGAAUAUAGUUCAGGUCUGUGGCUAUCUCCUCUGCUGCCUGCAAAGCCUUUAUCCAGCUAAUCCCUAUAUUCCAAAUGCCAACAAAGUACUGCCCCUUCCUGUUAAAUUAAUAAAUGCCCUUUCUGUUGAUUCAGUUCUUUGCAUUGUCAGUAAGGCUUAAAUAUAGGUACAUGAAAAGAAAUAAGGAAAAGAUGAAUAAAGCAUUAUUGUAUGCAGUCGAGAACAGCACAUGCAAAGGCCCUGUGGCAGAAAGGAACACAGGGAGCAAGAAGAAAGGAGUAAAAGGAGGAUUCAGACUAUCUUGGAGUUUCACUUGGAGUUACCGUGCUGUUCAUGGAACAUCUAGAAUUGACUGCGAUGGAUAGUUUUUUAGGUGAAUGUAUUCCUUGGAAUAAAUUACCAUCCAUUCUCUUCAUGAUACUAAAAUUGUAUUCUGAACGAUUCCCAGUUUCCCUCCUCAAAAGGUGAUCAUUCCAUACCAUCAGGCAAUGGAAGAGUUUGAAAGGUCAAAUAUUCUCUCUUUUAUAUACAAAACUUUCAGAAAAUCAAGCAAUCUUGAAAACAGAGUGAUCCUCUCAAUAGUACAAGAGUCCAAGGUAGGACAGGGGCUGCCAACACUGAGCUGGCAAAAGAGAAUAUUUUUUUGCUCCCGGUCAAGAAUAAUUUCAGUCGUCUUCUGGAAAUUUACAAAGCUGAACUUCGCUUCCAGGAAGAAAGAUUGCCGCUUUAUGCUGUAACUCACCACUGGCCUGAGCAUUCCCAUGGAAUUACUUAGGAGGCGGAAGAGAAUUUGUUCUUUCCUUAGCUUUUAAAAAUAGGUCAGGAGAUCAGAACUGAAGAGCGUGUUUAUCUCGGCGCCCCAAUUUAUCCUACACUAUUUUAUAUGCUUCCUGUUGGUGCAGGUCUCUCUCAGGGAACUACGUGGAAAAUAAAUGUCUAGCCAGUAGAUUUUCCUCCGAAAUAAACAUGUAAAGGUAAAAUGUAUUCCUCAGUAAAUCUACUGCCAGGGGAAAUGGGGUAGGAAGGGAACUUUCAAAUGGAUUUUUUUUCCUCCUAGAAACCUAGAUAAGCUGUGAGAGUAACUGGAACGGCCUCUCACGGGAAGUCAUAAAAUGCCACGAUGCUGAGAUGGGAACAGGACUAAGGGACGUUGCAGAGGGCACGCUUGGUCCCCCCGCCGUCCCUGUGUGAUGCCAGGUGGCCCUGUCCUCCGGGAGACUCGUGAGGGGACCGCAGUCCCGCGGAGCGUGGCCACCCGGUGGGCUCCCUGGAGACGGCCGAGCUGAGUAACGCGCCCGGUAACUGGGAAGAAGGCGUUGAUAGGACCUGAGUGAGGUCACCUCACCACUUUGCAAAGCUGGGUUGCUUCUCUUUGAUCUAUUCUUAUUGGCUGGAAUUGUGUUCAAAGCCACGCUGAUUUGAAAGCCUUCGUAUUUUAUUUCCUUUCGUAUUUUAUCUUAUUGUAUUUUGCUGCUGGCGACUUGGAAGACUGGUGUUGGAUUGUGGAGUUUUUUGGGGUCUUAACCAGGAUUGACUCUGCAGAGAUGAAGGUGUUUUAAAGAUGGCUAAGUGCUGGUGUGCAGUGUUGUCUUCUUGGGUGUAUAUUGGGCACGUUAUCUGAGAGUCUCAUUAACUCCCCCGUUCCUCAAAAAUCGCACCACAUAGCCACUGUCUUAAAUGAUCUGGGGUCAUCAUCAUUUAAAAUCUUACCUGGCAUUUUUAAAAAGCAUUUUUUAAAUCCUACAAUCAUUUUAGACUAACAGCAAAAUCCCAAUCAUCAUACAAAGAAUUAGCUGUUUUCUCUCCUCAUGUUCCCCUAAAUGUCAACCUUUCUCAUAUUUAUUACUUAUUUUCUCUCUUUCAUCGAAUUGUAGACACUUCACGGAUAGCUCAUGCCACUUUUUUUAAGCUGCUUCUAAAAAUCUUAGUUGUCCUUUCAUUUUCGUGCUUUGAAGUGUCACAUGAUGCAAUUUAUCAAGGUGCAGAGAACAAAAUGUAGUGUGAUUAUCAUGUGCUUCAACAGCAAAGGUAAAUUGAAAACUAGGGUGGACCACAGAAUUUCAUGAGCCAGUCUAAUGAGAAACAGGGACAAAAAAAAAAAAAAAGAAUCUGACUCCUGCUGCUUUGUCUUUGGGCUUCACAGACAUCUUAUUUGAAAGGGGGGCUCUGAGCAUAUUUGUGGCUUGUGGAUGCGUAAGUCCUCAGCCUACAGAAGUGAGAGGCAGGCAAUUCAAGGGGGCAGGGUAUAAAUUUGGUAAGUGUAGGUGAGAUCAAUACUGAUGUAGGAGAAUAAAUGGAAUUUUGAUUCAUGUAA
This is a non-coding RNA of Vicugna pacos (alpaca), 11124 nucleotides long. The record is from RefSeq and is a predicted model, not a curated record. Lineage: Eukaryota; Metazoa; Chordata; Mammalia; Artiodactyla; Camelidae.